This is a long non-coding RNA of Equus caballus (horse), 2510 nucleotides long. Lineage: Eukaryota; Metazoa; Chordata; Mammalia; Perissodactyla; Equidae. The record is from Ensembl.
UGGGUGGAUAGGUUCUGGUUGUGUGAUUCUAGAGCCAAAUAUAAAGAGCCAAAGGGCUUCUAGAUGAAAAUCAGCUCUGCUAGACUUAUGUUAUAUAUAUACUUAAAUUUUGUGACAACAUUUUUGACAGGUCAAAUACAGAUUGUAAUGACUGGAAAUUUACCAGUUUUGUUUUCAACUUCUUGAGCUUCCUAGGAGACCAGUUAUAUAGAACAACUAAAAGAGCAUCUCAAUUUCUAGAUGACCUCACGUUGGUGGUAGAGUCAAAAAGCCCUUCUAGAAGAGUCGGGCGGUUUCUUAACCCUGGCUGCCCAUUAGAAACACUUGGAAGCUUUUAACAAUUAUGAUGUUCUAGCCCCACCUGAACCCAAUUAAUAUAGAACACUGGGGAGUGGGGCCAGGGCAAAGGGCCCAGGGCAGUUUUAUAAGUGCCCUGGGUGAUUCUAAUUUUCAAUUAGGGUUAAAAAAAGCUAACACUGGGGUAUAACCUUUUGCUUUAACCCUUCAUCUUUUGAUCAGACUCAGAAGUGACAAUGUUAGAACAAAGAUGCUAACAGCUAACAUUUCAAAUCAAACCUUAGGCAUCAUUUAAAGCCAACGCAUCCUUAAAGACCCCAAGGGAAGGAGUAAAGAUGGAAAGAGCAAAGAUAUAUGGCUGGAGGGAUGAAAGAUCUUCUCUCCAGCAAGGCCCAACACAGCUGGCUGCCAGGUUCCAGGCAGCGGCACAGACGCACAGAUGCAGAAGGCACUUGGAGCCACAGGAAGCUUACAGUCGGGUCCUUGACCGGGUCUUCCUGUCGUCCUGCGCUCAGAUCCUUCACUGUCCUACUGCAGUUUUACAACCUAGCAGAAGGAAGUUCUUGAAAGCAUCGCUCUUUGUCCUCAGAGAGAUGAGUGAUCCUCAUCCUCAGGCAUCCUGUCUGAUGCUGACAAGCACUUGAUGACAAUGAGGAAAGCCAGCCUGAGCGGGAUGCUGAGACAUGAAGAGAAGACUAGGUAACAGAAUCUCAGAAUGAAGCUGAAGAGAAACUUCAGUUGCUUACUUUGAGAUAUAAUUGUUUUUUACUGACUGCUAAGUGAGAGAUUUUAUCUCUAACUAAGAGUUUGAGGAUGGAAGAAACUUCCUCUGCUAGCUUACUUUCAGUCUGGGCCAGAUAUCAAAACUCAUAUUUGGGAGAAAGUUAUUUUUUUGUCUCCAACUCAAGAAGAACAGGAGCUGAUGCCUGAUUUGUUCUCUGAUGCAUGCUAAAUAUCUAGACAAUUGCUUGGCAUAUAAUAGUCACUUAAAGUUUUUGUUGAAAAUAAGUAAAAUUAUAUUUAGUGUUUAUGUUGCUCUAUUUGCUGGAUCUGUAGUAUUCCAUAAACCAGAAUUUAUUUAUUCAUUUUCCCAUUUUGCAGCGUUUAAGUUCAUUCCAGUUUUUGCUAUUAUAAUUAAUGCUACUAUGAACAUCUUUGUACAUGUAUCCUUGAACAACCAGAUGAAACAUUUAAGCAACUGUUACAUAAAUAAAGCACAUACUCUACACUGAGAAGAUUACAGGAAAUGUGAAGAACUGUUAAUACAACGGAUUAAUGGAGCUUGAUAGAAGCUUAGGAAAUCUUCUCCACAGCCCCUGCCUUUGGGCAGCACACAUCUAAACCAUCUACAAUGGUUCACGGUCUGUGCUUCUCCACAGCCUCCCAGUGUGCAGACACCAGAACCUACUCUGGGACUUUCACACCACGACUGCCCAGAAGUUUUCCAGUCACUCAAGAGAAAUCUGUUAGGUAUUAACAGAAUUUUAACCCAUUCUUUCUCGGUUUUGAAUUUUUAAGCCUACAAAAGAACACAUACACACACGUGCACACAGUUGUUCAGUGUGAUUUAUUAGGAAAUAUUGAACAUUUCCAAAAGAGAAUUAAUUAUCGAGCUAACUAGGAUACUUUUAGACAAUUGGAUGGUAGAAUUGGAGAUUUUUGUCCCAUGCUUAAUGUCUUAAUAUCAUGAACUGUCUCUUUAAACAUCCUGAAACUGGCCUUGUUUGAAUUAUUUACAGUCUUUGAACAGCACAAUCUUUGUAGAUAUUCUUAAUACUCUUUGGUGGAUCUUUCUUUAGCAUCUUAUUGGAAAUAAAGCAUUUCACUUACUUCUGUUAAGAAAAUAUCAUUGCAAUCAGCUGUAGAAAAAAAUUUUUUUGCACAUAUACUAUUCUUUCAUAAAGUUCCAUAAGAUUAGUUGUAGUCCUUUGGUUUUUCCAGCUUAUUGAACCAAAAUCAUAGCUUCUAUUUCUAACCUGAGAAAUAUGCAUUCUCGGUAAGAUUAUUUCUCUGGCAAAAAUGCAAUGGGCAACCAAGAGAUUCCCUGUGCAACUGUCACCUCUGCUUUGGAAAUCCGGGUACUGUGCUUCUAAUCUGUGAAAGGGGCUGGGCUUGUUCAUCCCGCAGCAGAUCUGCUACCCUAAAAUGAGAUAAUAGUAGCCUGAAAUGUACGUUUUGUUUUCCACUAACUAUUUAUUUUCCCCUUUUUAAAG